GAUGAACGCUGGCGGCGUGCCUAAUACAUGCAAGUCGAGCGAACAGACGAGGAGCUUGCUCCUCUGACGUUAGCGGCGGACGGGUGAGUAACACGUGGAUAACCUACCUAUAAGACUGGGAUAACUUCGGGAAACCGGAGCUAAUACCGGAUAAUAUAUUGAACCGCAUGGUUCAAUAGUGAAAGACGGUUUUGCUGUCACUUAUAGAUGGAUCCGCGCCGCAUUAGCUAGUUGGUAGGGUAACGGCUUACCAAGGCAACGAUGCGUAGCCGACCUGAGAGGGUGAUCGGCCACACUGGAACGGAGACACGGUCCAGACUACUACGGGAGGGAGCAGAAGGGAAUCGUCCGCAGUGGGCGAAAGCCUGACGGAGCAAGGCCGAGUGAGUGAUGAAGGUCUUCGGAUCGUAAAACUCUGUUAUUGGGGAAAAACAAAUGUGUAAGUAAAUAUGCACGUCUUGACGGUACUUAAUAAAAAAGCCACGGCUAACUACGUG
Molecule: ribosomal RNA, 497 nt
Filed under: uncultured bacterium
Lineage: Bacteria
Description: partial 16S ribosomal RNA
Rfam family: Bacterial small subunit ribosomal RNA
Source: RNAcentral